Molecule: long non-coding RNA, 1402 nt
Filed under: Bos indicus x Bos taurus (hybrid cattle)
Lineage: Eukaryota; Metazoa; Chordata; Mammalia; Artiodactyla; Bovidae
Description: lncRNA (ENSBIXG00000019418.1)
Source: RNAcentral
AUCAGUCGGUUCUGUUACCACCAUUUGCAGAGAUGGAAGCCGAAGCUCAGAGUCAUUAGUUAACUGGCUCAAGGUCACACAGCUAGGACUCUGUGUUUCCCUCCAGGCAUGUCAACCACAGCAUCCACGCUCUUAUCCUCAACACCAAUGUCACUGCUCCUGUGUGGGACAGAGGUUCACAGCAUGGCAAUGAGCAAAACCUUUAUGCACAUCCGCAUUCACAUGACUGAGCUACAGAUGGUCAGCCAAAGAAGAUAACGAUGAAAGUUCAAGGUUGCAGAGAGUCAGAGGCACAUAUUAGCUUUAAAGAGAAAGUCAGUACUUUGUAGGGAGGGGCCUUCCUCUGGUCCCAGGGAAAUGGCUCCCAGGCUGUGGUGCAGGAUAGCCGGGCUCUGUGAAAAGGCUGCCUUUUGAAGCAUUUUUCUGAAAGAGGGAUGAUCAAAGCUGAUAUCCUCCACAGGACUUUCCUGGCAGUCCAGAGGUUGGGAAUUAGCCUUCCAGUGCAGAGCAUGGUGGCUCUCUCCCUGGUUGGGGAACUAAGAUCCCACAUGCCUUGGGGCCAAAACAUAAAAACAAAAGCAAUAUUGUAACAAAUUCAAUAAAGAUUUUUAAAAUUAUUCAAAUCAAAAAAAUCUUAAAAAAAAAAAAAAAAAAGCUGACGUCUUUCUUGAAUGAAGCACUCAGAGCCACUGAGAGCCCCACAAUAGCAUCCCUGAGAUGAGUGCUUGUCCACUUCUGUGCUCCCGCUUUAAGAGGAGGGUGGGCAAGGUCAGGUUACUGAGGGUGCAGGUAGAGGGAGGGGCGAGCAGUGGGGACAAUGACUAAUAGUGGGAGCCCUGUAAAAGGGCAGCUGGGAAGAUUGUCACAAGCACAAGCGGGAGACAGGGGGCAGACAUCCAGAGGAAGUGGUUUUCCUGAAGGCUUGCUAAGAGCACCAGAGGUUCUGGGAACACUGAGGACGUCGUGGGAAGUCAAAUUCAGCCUGAUUUCCAUUGAAGGCCAUGUUGUUGUGGCUUCAAGACAAGGCUUGAAUGCUCUCCUGAACUUCGGGACACAGGUGCCAGGCUCCCAAACAAUUGAGUCCACCUUCGAGGAUCAGAAGGGAAAGCAAGAGCAGAAGCACUUGGUCUGUUGCAAAGGGGAGGCUGCUGGCCUGGGGACAGAGAGGAGACACGACAAGGACACACCGUGCCGAGAACCAGAAUCAGAAAAUCAGCCAAAGACAGAACCAAAAGGCAAACGAGAACUUUUGCUUUCAGGAAAAAGAGGAGGAAGGUGCCAUCUCUCUGAUUUUCCAUUUCUUGUGGGAGCUGCUUUUAAAGAUUUGCAAAUUCUCUACAUCUGUGACCCUCAGACCUGUAGCUACCAAAGGAGGGGGGACAAAUUAGGAGAUCGGGAUUAA